CUCACCUGUUCUGGGGUUCAAAGCUCUAUAACCUCUCCCCCUGAACUUCUCCCGUUCCCAGCUUCCCUUCUUACACAACCCUGGCAUUUCAGCCGCAGGCUCUCCCCCUGCUCUCUCUGGGUGCUUCCUCUCCCCUCCCCACAUGCCUCCCCUCCCAUUGCACCCUCCUCUCCUCUCUUCUCUGUCUUGUCUAUCUCUCAACUCCCCCACCGUAUGGGCAGGUUCAGUCUGCUGGCCAUGUUCGGUCUACUUUUGCUCUCCCUGCUCUGGGCUCUUCCAGAGGCCUCUGGCUGUACUCUCCCUCCCCUCACACCCACCACAAAAACCUUCUUUCUGGGGAGAUAUGGAAGUGGGACAUUUGAAAUGUAGACAAAUAAAAUAAUUACAAUCUUAAAAACCCUUCUUUUCAACCAUAUCUUGGAGUUAUCCUGUGUCCUUACUUCAUUCAGACCCAUCUCUCCAUUUCGAGGGCUCACCUUAGAUUGCCACCUUAGGGUUCAAUUGUAUUCCUAUUUUAUCAGAAUUCCCAGGGGAUUUCUAGCACGUAUUCGGCUUGACUUGUAAGGGAAAACGAAUUACUUAGUAGAUCCAGCUCUUGAUUGCAUUUUUCCUCAAAAUCUGGACAAGUGUUCAAACAGCUUAUCAAAAAGCAACCACCUAGGGCUGGGGAGACAGAUUAACUAGUACAGUGCUGACCUCCUAACAUGCAGAGCCCGGGGUUAGAUGUCCAGGGCUGGGCAAAGUGGUCUUAAACUUUAAUAGUUCAAUAACAAAAUUACAAUUCUAUAUUUUAUAACUAUAAUCCUAGCAUUAGGGAGGUUGAAGCAGAAGGGUCAGGAAGAAUUUCAAGGUCAUCCUCAAGUACACAUAGAGUUGGAGGCUAGCCUGAGGUACUAGUAACCUUGUCUCAAACUCACACAGACACACGGAGGGGGAUAGUGGCUGGAGAGAUGGCUCAAUGGGGUUAAGAGCAUUUAUUGCUCUUCUGAUAGACUGGAGUUUGGAUCCCAGCUCCCAUACUGAGAAUCCAGCUCAGUAACUCCAGCUCCAGGAAACCUUCAGACACACACACACAUACACACACACACAUACACACACACACACACACAAAUAAAAAUCUUCAAAUCCCCACUUUACCUCUUACACUAAGAGGAGGAAAAUAAUGAGCUCACUAUUAGCAAUGAUCUUCUCAACCAUUAUGUGCAUCACAACUAGUUAACAGCCAGGUGCUACCUACCUACAUAAUCAAAGUCCCAGUUCAAGGAAAAAUUUCAAAGUGAACCGGGACACUAAACAAUUGAUGGUGAUAACGUCAACUAUUAUGGCCUAACGACAGGGUUUGUUAUGUGCUAUCAAUCUGAGGAAGUGCUUCCUACAUUUAAUUUCCACUAAUAAGAUAAGAAGACAGUCAGGCCUUUAUUUUGAAGAAGAGGAAGCUGAGAGGGCUCAGAUUGCCUCCCAGAUGUGAUAAACAAAGCCAGGGCUGCAGGAGAAACUGUCAGGAGCUCAGGGUGUAGGGCACUGGUGUGGCGGCAGGGGGAUGACCUUGAGGAUGAAGGAAUCUGCUGCCAACCCAAAUUUGAUUCCUGGGAACCGCAAGGUACAGAGAAAGAACCAAAUGACACAUGUGCACCCACAUGCGUGCACAUAACAUACAUAUAUGGAAGAAAAGCCUUUAAAAAAGGGGUGGGAGAUUAUUGGGGGCUGGAGAGAUGGCUCAGUGGUUAGGGCUGGAGAGCUGGCUCAGUGGUUAGGAACACAAGCUGCUCUUCCAAAGGUCCUGGGUUAGGACCCAUGUGGCUGCUCACAACUGUCUGUAGCUCCAGUCCCAGGGGAUCUGACAUCCUUACAUACACACAGGCAAAACACGGAUCCGAAUGUUAUAUAUAAGAGGUGUUAAUAUGACGUUGGCAUCAAAGCCAAGUUGUCGUAAGCUUGAAGCAUAUAUCUGCUGUGAAUUAGCCAUGUUAAUUUAUGCAAACACUUCAGCUGCAUAACCAGUGAGGUGGGUAAAAUAAUACCGUCCAUACCAGAGUACUCGGUGAAGACUAAAUUAGUGUGUGAAGCAGUUAGAGAACACCUAGUAAGGACUAUGCUUGCUAUUAUCGUGGUUAGCAUUAACUGGAGCCAUUAGUCACAUCCAGAUUAGCUCUCCCUAGCCCUUCCCCCAUCACAGGCCAGCUGCCCCCACCUCUCCUGCUACCUGGUGACACUCUUAACUCUUAUUUCUCUCAUUUAAGCUAAACUUUACCAUCUGUGCCCAUGAGCCAGGGCUCCUGGCAUACACCUUGAGUCCCAGCAUUCUGGAGGCAGAGGCAGGUGGAUCUGAGUGCAAGGCCAGAGCCUGGUCUACAUAGGGAGUUCCAGUCCAGCCUGGGCUACGUGCUAAGACCCUGUCUCAAACUCUUCAAGGCUGUAACAAAUGCAUUUUACGCCGUGGUCAGUAAACAGCUCACUUAAAAUGAACCAGGUUAGAACCAUAAACCAGCAACCCUAGCACGCAGAAGGGCUGCCAGAGGAUGACUGUGAACUUCAGGCUAUCCUGGGCAACUUAGUAAGGCUCUUUCUCAGAAACGAAAGCCAUCCAAAAGCAGUCAGACACUAACUACGCGAAAACAAAUCAAGUUACAACACAUGAAACAUAGACGGACCAGGAGGCGGUGGGAAACUAAAACACUCCACACUUGGAAGUGGGCGCAGUUCUCACUCUCACCUGUAAAAUUACUUUUUUUCUAGUUCCUACAACCACUAAAAACACACUUAUAAACUGUAUCGUUCAGCCAGUCACUAAACAGAUGCUUAUUAGUAUGCACACACUGGCAGUGCCUGGCACUGGGCUCGGGCUAGGGUUACAGCAUUUAAAGUGACACCAGCUUCUCCACUGUGCUUCCAGUCCAGUGUAGGUGCCAAGUGCACACAGGUGUAUUGUGCCAUUUUAUAUGAGCAUUCUGUUCAUUAUAAAGCCCUUUAAACCUCUUACUAAAAUAUAAGCAAAUGAAUAAAACAGGGAGACCAUUUCAAACUCUUUGAAAGCACACGUUUUCUUCCUGUCUCCAGGGACAGCGUUCUGUUGAAUGGCACACUUGUGCCCAUUCAUUUCUGACCCUUUGCACACUUAAGAUGGUGAAGACGGUAUCAGACUACCCAAGAAUCAAAUAACUGAAAUUUAAACUGAAGAGUAAUUGCAGUCCCCAAAACGUUCAAGGUAUGCCUCCAAAGGAGCAUAAAAGUCAUUUAACCUGGAGUUUCACACUUCCCAAACCGGUUGUCUGUGCCCUUGGAAGAGUUUACUGGCUAGCCAAACGGCUUUACUGCACAUCAAUUAAGCGCAGUUCUCAGUCCAAGAAGGACCAGCGACUUGAUCUAAAAAGUAUUAGCAUAGCCCAUGACGCAAGGGUGGGUCUGUGCUAGCUCUCAAGAGGUCUGGGGCUGGAGUCCAAGAUCAGCAGGCAGUCAUAGUCACCUGACAAGGGCCCUACUCCGAGAUAAGCACUUGGUGCUUCCCAUCAGCGUGUGCAUUCUCACUAGUAAGGCCUCCAACCCCCUGGCAUGUAGCUGUACAAAACAGUCGAGCAAUUAUGAAAAAGGAAAAAAGUUAAUAAAAAAAAAAUCCCCCUUUCACUCUGCAAAAUUCACAUGCAAAACCGAGCGUGCCUCUAAGACAAAGUCUGCGAUCCAGAAGAAACAGAAGAUAAGGUGUUUUGUCAACGGUGAAGAAUUAAUAGGGUGGCACCGCAGGACUGGAUCCGAAGGAGGGAUCCACGGAAUGAAGGAUCACUACAGAAAAAUACAAACCCUGGGAGAGUUUCACCAACGCAAGGCCUUAGAGCCAAAAUCAAAUGGCCAGAGGACUCUUGGGGACACCCUGCAGAAGGAAGGGGACCCAUGCGCACGCUGAAGCAUGCGAGGCCCGGACGUCCAGUCCAGCUGCUGCAGGCGAGUCGGGGAGAGGAUGAGCGCUCAGCGCCUGGGACUGGUGGGCCGUGUGCUGGUCCCCAGGCUGCAGGGAGGAUAGGGAAGCAGAAGGGAGAUUCGGGGUGCCGGCACCGCCCCACGCCGGGAGGAGCCCGCGCCGUGCCACCGCCUCAGCGAGCCGCCAUUCAGGGGCCCCCGGCCGCGCCGCCGCGCUUGGCUCACAGCCCCCGGCUGCCGCACAUUGUCGCUCCGGCGACCGACGGCCCGCUGGGCUCCACGCCGCCGCCGCU
RNAcentral lists this long non-coding RNA (4205 nucleotides) under Mus pahari (shrew mouse). RNAcentral describes it as "lncRNA (MGP_PahariEiJ_G0006469.1)". Lineage: Eukaryota; Metazoa; Chordata; Mammalia; Rodentia; Muridae. The record is from RNAcentral.